GCCCUCGUAGUUCAAUGGAUAGAACAGUUCCGUCCUAAGGAAUAGAUGUCAGUUCGAUUCUGACCGAGGGCACCA
This 75-nucleotide transfer RNA is filed under the name Candidatus Taylorbacteria bacterium RIFCSPHIGHO2_01_FULL_44_110. RNAcentral's name for it is "tRNA-Arg". It matches the Rfam family "tRNA". Rfam says of the family: Transfer RNA (tRNA) molecules are approximately 80 nucleotides in length. Their secondary structure includes four short double-helical elements and three loops (D, anti-codon, and T loops). Lineage: Bacteria; Candidatus Tayloriibacteriota. The record is from RNAcentral. RNAcentral also lists the same sequence under 5 other names.